This is a long non-coding RNA of Vicia villosa (hairy vetch), 1787 nucleotides long. RefSeq lists it as uncharacterized. The transcript is spliced from 2 exons. The record is from RefSeq and is a predicted model, not a curated record. Lineage: Eukaryota; Viridiplantae; Streptophyta; Magnoliopsida; Fabales; Fabaceae.
UCUUUUAAUUCUAUUAGACGAUAAUGUAAAAUCACACAUGAAAUCUGCGACGACUGAUGUGUCACCGGUCACCGCAGCGACGGCACCUACAAUUACCUCAGCGACGACUGAUGUAUCACCGGUCACCGCCGCGACGGCACCUACAAUUACCUCUGCGACGACUGAUGUGUCACCGGUCACCGCCGCGACGGCACCUACAAUUACCACUGCGACCUGCGGCGGCAUCUGCGACACCACUGCAAUCUGUUCCUGCUCGUGAUUGACUCAAAGGCGCCAAAAAAACUGUUUGAAGGAGAACAUACCACAUUGGCUUCUUUGGCAAGUCUGGAGCAAACAGCACCUGUAGAAUUUUGAUCCUCAUCAAACCAACCAACUUCAAAAGUGAGUAUCUUGGAAAGCAUUCUUUCUCUAACCCUUUUAGUCAAGUACUCUCCCAUGUAAGCAAAGCUAUAAUGUUGAAGCACAUUAAAAACCAAUGAAGACACAGCCAACCCUAGAAAACAAAAUGCAUAGAUCCUAAUUUGUUUCUUGAUCUCAUCAUGGUCCUCCAGAAAAUAAACUGAUGCAACUGACCCUGUUGAAAAUGUAUACAAAGGAUUAACCGCACCGAAGAAAAUCGCGCUCAAACAACCCAAACACACUUGCUUCCACUCUGGAAAAUUCAUUGCCAACAACCUUCGAAACGAAGGAACCUUUACCUUCUCCUUCUUCUCCCUCUCCUUAUCAUUAUUGAUAUUAUUAUUAAAUACCUCAACAUCAUUAACGAUAUCUCCAACAACAUUUUUAUCGUUAACAAUAUCCCCACCACCACGUGUCAUUGAGUCAAAAGAGCUAGAAUGUGUUGCGAGUCUAUAACUAUUUGUGUUUUGCAUGUGAUCUAUAUUAAUGAUAGAUGGAGUAUCUUCGUUUUGGUCAUUUUUGGUUUGCUGGAUACGAACGAGGGAAGUGUAAAGCGAAUUGUCAUUUUGAAUGAGGCUCUCGUGAGAUCCCGUUUCCACGAUCUUACCAUUUUGAACGAAUGCAAUGAUGUCUGCAUUUUGGAUGGUGGAUAAGCGGUGAGCGAUGAUGAUGGUGGUGCGUCCAACCACGGCUUUGUCUAGAGCUUGUUGGACGACUCGUUCGGAUUCAGAAUCGAGUGCACUUGUUGCUUCAUCUAGCAAUAGAAUUCUUGGCAUUUUUAUUAUGGCUCUUGCGAUGGCAAUCCUCUGCUUUUGUCCUCCUGACAUUUGUAUUCCGCUCUCCCCAACCUGUAUUAGUAAGCAUACAAUUAACAUCUUAAGUAUAACCACUAUGUUAAGGUUGAAGUUUUGGAUCUAGAAACUAUAAAGUGUCUGCAAUGAUUUGUUAUGUGAUUCAGCUGGGUGUUCCAAUAUUUGGACAGAUAAAGGAAGACACAAAAAGUAAGAAGAAUUUAUUGAAAGAAAUAGUGAUUUACAAGUAGUUUUACUUUGCCUAACAUAAGUAUAUCUCGAGUUUAGAUUCUUAUGAUUGGACUUUUGUGUUUAGGUAAUAUAGAGCCGAUUCCAGCACUUCUGCAACAUGCCAUUGAUCACUUUAUUCAAUGGCACUUACUUCUCUAAUUUAGUGGAAUUAGUUUGAUUCAUGUGAGUAUGAUUCAUGCAAUUUGAAUGGGAAAGAUAAGGUGCUUCAUGUACGUGGACCACCAUACUAGUGUUUUUUUAUUUUAUGAAAUUAUUAUAACAGAUUUCACACGAUGAAGAAUAAGGAAUAUAAACUAUUGUUCAAGUAAUUAAAAAUAGAUUUUAAGUGAGAAUGUUCAAUAACCA